UGGGGAAUAUUGCACAAUGGGCGCAAGCCUGAUGCAGCCAUGCCGCGUGUGUGAAGAAGGCCUUCGGGUUGUAAAGCACUUUCAGCGAGGAGGAAGGUGGUGAACUUAAUACGUUCAUCAAUUGACGUUACUCGCAGAAGAAGCACCGGCUAACUCCGUGCCAGCAGCCGCGGUAAUACGGAGGGUGCAAGCGUUAAUCGGAAUUACUGGGCGUAAAGCGCACGCAGGCGGUUUGUUAAGUCAGNUGUGAAAUCCCCGGGCUCAACCUGGGAACUGCAUUUGAAACUGGCAAGCUAGAGUCUCGUAGAGGGGGGUAGAAUUCCAGGUGUAGCGGUGAAAUGCGUAGAGAUCUGGAGGAAUACCGGUGGCGAAGGCGGCCCCCCUGGACGAAGACUGACGCUCAGGUGCGAAAGCGUGGGGAGCAAACAGAUUAGAUACCCUGGUAGUCCACGCUGUAAAACGAUGUCGAUUUGGAGGUUGUGCCCCUUGAGGCGUGGGNUUCCGGAGCUAACGCGUUAAAUCGACCGCCUGGGGAGUACGGCCGCAAGGUUAAAACUUAAAGGAAUUGACGGGGUCUAGCU
RNAcentral lists this ribosomal RNA (581 nucleotides) under uncultured bacterium. RNAcentral describes it as "partial 16S ribosomal RNA". It matches the Rfam family "Bacterial small subunit ribosomal RNA", at positions 355 to 925 of the family's 1533-position model. The record is from RNAcentral.